RNAcentral lists this ribosomal RNA (253 nucleotides) under uncultured bacterium. RNAcentral describes it as "partial 16S ribosomal RNA". It matches the Rfam family "Bacterial small subunit ribosomal RNA", at positions 524 to 776 of the family's 1533-position model. The record is from RNAcentral.
UACGUAGGGUGCGAGCGUUGUCCGGAAUUACUGGGCGUAAAGAGCUCGUAGGCGGUUUGUCGCGUCUGCUGUGAAAACUGGAGGCUCAACCUCCAGCCUGCAGUGGGUACGGCGAAACUAGAGUGCGGUAGGGGAGAUUGGAAUUCCUGGUGUAGCGGUGGAAUGCGCAGAUAUCAGGAGGAACACCGAUGGCGAAGGCAGAUCUCUGGGCCGUAACUGACGCUGAGGAGCGAAAGCAUGGGGAGCGAACAGG